GACGAACGCUGGCGGCGUGCUUAACACAUGCAAGUCGAACGAAGAGCGAUGGACGCUUGCUUCUAUCAAUCUUAGUGGCGAACGGGUGAGUAACGCGUAAUCAACCUGCCCUUCAGAGGGGGACAACAGUUGGAAACGACUGCUAAUGCCGCAUACGAUCUGACCUCGGCAUCGAGGAUAGAUGAAAGGUGGCCUCUAUUUAUAAGCUAUCACUGAAGGAGGGGAUUGCGUCUGAUUAGCUAGUUGGAGGGGUAACGGCCCACCAAGGCGAUGAUCAGUAGCCGGUCUGAGAGGAUGAACGGCCACAUUGGGACUGAGACACGGCCCAGACUCCUACGGGAGGCAGCAGUGGGGAAUCUUCCGCAAUGGACGAAAGUCUGACGGAGCAACGCCGCGUGAGUGAUGACGGCCUUCGGGUUGUAAAGCUCUGUUAAUCGGGACGAAAGGCCUUCUUGCGAAUAGUUAGAAGGAUUGACGGUACCAGAAUAGAAAGCCACGGCUAACUACGUG
RNAcentral lists this ribosomal RNA (510 nucleotides) under uncultured bacterium. Its description in RNAcentral is "partial 16S ribosomal RNA". It matches the Rfam family "Bacterial small subunit ribosomal RNA", at positions 28 to 507 of the family's 1533-position model. The record is from RNAcentral.